AGUGAACGCUGGCGGUAGGCCUAACACAUGCAAGUCGAACGGCAGCACAGUAAGAGCUUGCUCUUACGGGUGGCGAGUGGCGGACGGGUGAGGAAUACAUCGGAAUCUACUUUUUCGUGGGGGAUAACGUAGGGAAACUUACGCUAAUACCGCAUACGACCUACGGGUGAAAGCAGGGGAUCUUCGGACCUUGCGCGAUUGAAUGAGCCGAUGUCGGAUUAGCUAGUUGGCGGGGUAAAGGCCCACCAAGGCGACGAUCCGUAGCUGGUCUGAGAGGAUGAUCAGCAACACUGGAACUGAGACAAGGUCCAGACUCCUACGGGAGGCAGCAGUGGGGAAUAUUGGACAAGGGGCGCAAGCCUGAUCCAGCCAUACCGCGUGGGUGAAGAAGGCCUUCGGGUUGUAAAGCCCUUUUGUUGGGAAAGAAAAGCAGCAGGUUAAUACCCCGCUGUUCUGACGGUACCAAAAGAAUAAGCACCGGCUAACUUCGUG
This 492-nucleotide ribosomal RNA is filed under the name uncultured bacterium. Its description in RNAcentral is "partial 16S ribosomal RNA". It matches the Rfam family "Bacterial small subunit ribosomal RNA", at positions 29 to 507 of the family's 1533-position model. The record is from RNAcentral.